UACGGAGGGUGCAAGCGUUAAUCGGAUUUACUGGGCGUAAAGCGCACGUAGGCGGUUUGUUAAGUCGGAUGUGAAAUCCCCGGGCUCAACCUGGGAGCGGCAUUCGAUACUGGCAAACUGGAGUACGAGAGAGGGGGGUGGAAUUCCAGGUGUAGCGGUGAAAUGCGUAGAUAUCUGGAGGAACACCGGUGGCGAAGGCGGCCCCCUGGCUCGAUACUGACGCUGAGGUGCGAAAGCGUGGGGAGCAAACAGG
This 253-nucleotide ribosomal RNA is filed under the name uncultured bacterium. RNAcentral describes it as "partial 16S ribosomal RNA". It matches the Rfam family "Bacterial small subunit ribosomal RNA", at positions 524 to 776 of the family's 1533-position model. The record is from RNAcentral. RNAcentral also lists the same sequence under 1 other name.